UUAAACAAUAAACUUGUAAUAAAUUUCUAACAAUGUCAAAUAGAGGCCUAAUAAACUUAAUUUGAAAGAAUAGUAGAUGAAGUGACAUUAAUUUCAAACAAUAAUCAUCCGAUAAAUCUCUAAUAAACUCAAGUAGAGCCCUAGUAAAUUGCAUUUCAAACAAUAGUAGAUGUAGUGACAUUAGUUUCAAAUUUCAGAUAAAUUUUUAAUAAUUUGAAAUUGAGACCUAAAAAAUAUCUAAUAACUUAGAAUUGAGGCCUAACAAAUCUCUAAUAACAUCAAAUAGAGGCCU
This 292-nucleotide long non-coding RNA is filed under the name Phoenix dactylifera (date palm). RNAcentral's name for it is "long non-coding RNA (PDAC_LNC004171)". The record is from RNAcentral. Lineage: Eukaryota; Viridiplantae; Streptophyta; Magnoliopsida; Arecales; Arecaceae.